UAAGGAAUAUUGGUCAAUGGACGCAAGUCUGAACCAGCCAUGCCGCGUGAAGGAUGAAGGUCCUCUGGAUUGUAAACUUCUUUUAUCUGGGACGAAAACGGGAUUUUAUCUCAAUUGACGGUACCAGAGGAAUAAGCACCGGCUAACUCCGUGCCAGCAGCCGCGGUAAUACGGAGGGUGCGAGCGUUAUCCGGAUUUACUGGGUUUAAAGGGUGCGUAGGUGGGCUUAUAAGUCAGUGGUGAAAUCUCCGAGCUUAACUUGGAAACUGCCGUUGAUACUAUAGGUCUUGAAUUAUCUGGAGGUAAGCGGAAUAUGUCAUGUAGCGGUGAAAUGCUUAGAUAUGACAUAGAACACCAAUUGCGAAGGCAGCUUACUACAUAUAAAUUGACGCUGAGGCACGAAAGCGUGGGGAUCAAAC
This 419-nucleotide ribosomal RNA is filed under the name uncultured bacterium. Its description in RNAcentral is "bacterial SSU rRNA". It matches the Rfam family "Bacterial small subunit ribosomal RNA", at positions 355 to 773 of the family's 1533-position model. The record is from RNAcentral.